GCGGGUGAAGAUUUUCAAAUAUUCUCAAAGAUUCUGUAACACCCCGGAAGAUUCUGCGUCAGGUACGCGGCCAGAUGCGCGGCCACUUGCCCAGGUGUGUGGCCGCGGACGUAGGAACCCAAUAAAUAACCCCCAAGACUGGGUAGAGAGAGGGAUUAAGUCAUUUUUGAGGUAAAAACCUGAUAUUUUAGAGAGAUGUAAGAGCAUUUUAGAGAGAGAAGGAGUAAACCUAUCAUUCUAAUCAUCCAAUCUUGCACCAAUCUUCAAGAAUCAAGGAAACUAAUCACAAGAUCUUCAUCAAAGAGAUAAGGUUCCAUACCCUAAUUUUAAAUUUCGGGAUUUGGAUUAAAAGUAGGCCAUAAGAAGUAUAAUUCUUGGGUGUGAGAGUAUUAUGUGUACAUUUAUGGAUUUAUUAUGGAAAUAUGAGUAUGAAUUAAGCAAGUAUUGGAACUUAUGGUAUAGUGAUUGGAAGCCAUAAAUUCUCAAUUUAAAUACAUAACCAUUGUAGAGAUUGAAAGGUGAUUAUUUGAUAGAAUUUUAUUGGUUGGGUGAGAAUAGUUGGUCACACAUAUGAUGUUAGGAUUAUAAGUUGUUAAAGAAUAAUGGUGGGAUGAAUUGUUGGUAAAUGAUGGUAAAUGGAAGAACUAAUUCUAUGGUUAAGAAAUGUAUAAAUGUAUGCCCACUAGGUGAUUGGUAAAUUAACUAAAUGGCCUAAACUAUAAAAUUGGUUACUAAUGUUGGUCCCAUUGGAUGUUAAUAUUGUAGAUUGCACUUGUUUAGUAUAGUAGAUCGUUGUAGUAUCAUUAAGGGGUGAAUUUCAGUUUCGGAUCGUUGGCAUUGAAUUGAGGAGACAAGAAGGCAUUCGGAGGUGGAUACACGUGGAAUGGAAUUUCCUGAGUAUUGAUUAGCUGGCUCAACGUUGGGUUCGUCUUGUUGAGGUAAGUAACAGUUUUAAAUCUGGUCCUGAGGGUAUAAAAUCCCAGAUUAUUGUAUUAUGUGAGUAUUUAGGAGGUAACGCACAUGCUAGGUGAUGGGCGUGUGGGCAUGGGAAUUGGGACUUGGUCUAUUCCGUGAAACUGGAAAGUUGAAUAAGCUUGUCGUUAGCUAUGUGCCCUUUCUGUGCUAUAAAAAUUUGGCAGUGAAGCAUGCUUAGGCUAUGUGAUGGUGCUGUAAAGACCACAGAGGUCUUGUACAUGUUGAAUUAUCUACUAAAUUAUUAGUUUGUACUCAGUCAGAGUUUACUUGUUUAUUGUAUCUCAGUCUCUAUUAUUCAUUAUUGAUGCAUCAUAUUAUUGUUAUUUGGGCUGAGUAUCAUGACUAUUGAGAACCCGAGAGACUGGAGAGAUUUAUGACUGAGUGAGACCGAGGGACUAAUUGUGAGAUAUUAUAUUAUAGCACGUGAGUUGUCCGUGCAACACGUGAGUUGUCAGUGCGGAUCCUUAUAUUAUUCUAUAGCACGUUAGUUGUCCGUGCAAUACGUGAGUUGUCCAUGCGGAUCCUUAUUUUAUACUAUAGCACGUGAGUUGUCCGUGCGGAUCCAGAUAUUUACACUAUAGCACGUGAGUUGUCUGUGCAACACGUGAGUUGUCCGUGCAAAUUAUAGCGCUUGGGUUGUAGGAGCCCCUCCGGAGUCUGUACACCCCCAGUGAGCGCGGGUACCCAUUGAGUGUGAGUGCUGAGGGCUGAGAGCCGAGUGGUUGAGCUAUUGUGACGAGUUGAGUAACUGUUGCCCUGAGAGGCUGUACUUUCUUUUCAUUUGUUGUUGUACUUAGUUGCUAUCUGUCAUUGUUGUGAAAUUCUCUAAAAGAUUUUAUAUCCGAAUUACGUGAGCUUGAGCUGUAUAAAACUGAUUUGACUUAAACUGCUAGAAUUGAAAGUAUGUCUACACUCUGCUGGAAUUACUGAAAAUGAAUUGUAACUGUGUAGCUCGUCACUAUCUUCAGUUCCUUAUUUAUUAUUGUUACUUACUGAGUUGGUUGUACUCAUACUACACCAUGCACAUCGUGUGCAGAUCUAGGUAUUCCCAGACAUAGCGGGUGUUGAUUCUU
Molecule: long non-coding RNA, 2048 nt
Filed under: Nicotiana tabacum (common tobacco)
Lineage: Eukaryota; Viridiplantae; Streptophyta; Magnoliopsida; Solanales; Solanaceae
Description: long non-coding RNA (NTAB_LNC003563)
Source: RNAcentral